CGAAGGCUGCCGGUGGGGGGGUGGGGCGGGGGAGGGGCUCUGGAAAGAACUGUAACACUUUAGCUUUGUGCAAAGCAAUUUUCCAUUACAGGAGAACUGAACAGAAAUUGAAACGCGAGGCUCAAUGCCCUGCCGCCCAGCUUGGUGGCUCUGUCGCUCGCUCCCAGACUGCUGCUGGAAGCUUGCCCACUUGGCAGCUUUGAAAGGUCUCACCCUUUCCCUGCGUUUGCAAGUGAAGGGGAGCCAGGGGAGAGCCACAUGACAAUGAGGUUGCCAGUUGACACCUUUGUGAUGUCAGCAGCCUCAGGAGACUGCCUGGCUGAGGGAAAGAGAUUCCUCACCUCUCCUUCUGGGUGGUGUGAGGGUGUUUUAUGUGUCUUGGUAAGCCAGCUGGAACUCCCUGGGGGAGUUGGGGCCUCAUGGGUAGGGGCCUGCAGCAUGUGUGUGUUGGAGACCAGGCUGGGUUCAGUGUGUGGAUGUGUAUAGUAUCUGUACCCGCUCCCCAUGGAGCUGUAGUAGAUUAGGUGACAUUGGACCCCCUAAUCUGCAGGCCAUAGAGGGAACAUGGGACAUCUCCAGGCCAACUCCUUUUCUUAGUGAUGAGCAGUGACUUGCUUGAGCCCUGUUUUCUUUAGACGCUGACUCCUGCUGUCUACCAGAUCCUCGUGGUACAAUGACUGGUGUAGACUGGCUUGUUGAAGUCACUCUCUGGAUCUGAGCAACGCUGGCUGAGCCGUGAUGAAGUAUUCCUAUCCAUCCACUAUGCUUCACAGUGGGAAUCUCUCACUGUUCAUCACCGCUGCCCUAGCAGCCGCAGGGAUUCUUCACCCAUGGUUGCUUAGGUUUAUAAGCAAGGAAGCUGAAUGAAGUCCCUUUCCUCUCUGGAUGAGCCCCUGGGUUUCUGGAAGAGUCUUAAAAUCACCCCUAAAUGGCUUCCAAGCACUGAAGCCCGAGAUGUUAGCUGGCCUGUGUGAGGCCUUGAGACAGAAUGCCACAGCCACACCCCAAGGAUGCUGAAGGGGAUUUCCCUCCUCUGUGGUUUUUCUCCUUUCUUCCCGCAGCACUCCUCCUACGUGCUAACAUCUUCUAGUCAAACAACUCUCCUUUUCAAAGGGACCAGGCACAGUUUCUGCUUAUCCCUGAGUAGCAGUGUUCAGUUUCCUGCCAGCCUGUGGAGUUUUUCAAACAAGCCAAUCACCUCCUCCUGUGGGAACUGAGAAGCACCCCACCCUCUCGAUACUACAAAGCCCCUGCUUGUUCCCUAGUGCAACUCCCAUGUGGUCCUGUGGAGCAUAUGGUAUCUUCCUCUUCUGGGCAGUGAGCAUAUGUGACUAAUAAACUAUCUAUCU
RNAcentral lists this long non-coding RNA (1349 nucleotides) under Homo sapiens (human). Its description in RNAcentral is "HSALNT0296311". The record is from RNAcentral. Lineage: Eukaryota; Metazoa; Chordata; Mammalia; Primates; Hominidae.